Arabidopsis lyrata subsp. lyrata is the source of this 735-nucleotide RNA transcript. It is a transcript of the gene named protein CONTINUOUS VASCULAR RING 1-like, with no coding region annotated. The record is from RefSeq and is a predicted model, not a curated record. The transcript has 5 exons. NCBI's taxonomy places the organism in Eukaryota, Viridiplantae, Streptophyta, Magnoliopsida, Brassicales, Brassicaceae.
UUUUUCUUUUCACAUGAUCUAAAAUCUUGUCAUUCAUUUUCUCAUUUCAAGAUUCAUGUAAAAGUAACAAUAGAUUUGGAUUUAGUUUGAAUUGGAAAUGGAUUGUGCUCUGAUGCUUUACCUAUUUUCUGCAAACUUUAAGCUUUUUCAUUAGGGGUUGGGCGUCGAAGAAGUUCGUGACAGGCUGAUCACUAGUAGCUCCAGCUCGAUUACUAAAUCAUCCGCCAUGGCCUCACAAGCUUGUCUACUUCAGAAACAGAUCAGCUCAAAGAUCUUUGUAAGCAUGUUGUAGAUGGAUUCUCUUUGCUGGUCUAUUUCAUGAUAUUUUGUCCGUGAUUUGAUUCUCCGACAACAUAUCAUUUUCUUUGAAAGGGUUUCUCUGAAUCUGUCUAAGUGGUUUUGAUGGUGAUGGCUAGAUUUGGAUUUAAUUCAUGUCUCGAGAUAAGCAGAGGAAUCACAUUAUAAGAUUUGAGACACUUGCCGUUUUCUAUGAUGAACACAAGUGGGUUCAAUAGCUACAGUGCCAAUGACCUGAUUCCCCAUUGGACAAUGUGUACGUAGCCAGCUUGAUCUAGCCUGCUUUCAAGAGCUAUGAUGUCAAGCAUAUCUACAAGAAAGAACAAUGGGUUCUCAAUAUAUUAUGUACAGUGGAGAGUGUCAAGAACAGCUCUAAUAUAUUAUUCGCUUGAAACAUGUACUUUGGUUAUUAAUAUAAAACAUUUUCAGCUUUAUGAA